Molecule: transfer RNA, 71 nt
Filed under: fish gut metagenome
Rfam family: tRNA
About the family: Transfer RNA (tRNA) molecules are approximately 80 nucleotides in length. Their secondary structure includes four short double-helical elements and three loops (D, anti-codon, and T loops). Further hydrogen bonds mediate the characteristic L-shaped molecular structure. tRNAs have two regions of fundamental functional importance: the anti-codon, which is responsible for specific mRNA codon recognition, and the 3' end, to which the tRNAs corresponding amino acid is attached (by aminoacyl-tRNA synthetases). tRNAs cope with the degeneracy of the genetic code in two manners: having more than one tRNA (with a specific anti-codon) for a particular amino acid; and 'wobble' base-pairing, i.e. permitting non-standard base-pairing at the 3rd anti-codon position.
Source: RNAcentral
ACCUAUAGCUCAGUUGGUUAGAGCACCCGGCUCAUAACCGGUAGGUCGCUGGUUCGAGCCCAGCUGGGUCC